AUAUCAGUCAUGCAUAGCAUAUCAAUAAGCGGAGGAAAAGAAACUAACAAGGAUUCCCUUAGUAACGGCGAGUGAAGCGGGAAGAGCUCAAAUUUGAAAUCUUCAUGGUUUUACCUUGACGAAUUGUAGUUUAAAGAAGUGUUUUCUGUUGAAGUUUUGGUAAAAGUUCUUUGGAAUAGGACAUCAUAGAGGGUGAGAAUCCCGUAUUUGACCAUUACUUUCAGCUUUGUGAUACACUUUCAAAGAGUCGGAUUGUUUGGGAAUGCAGUCCAAAAUGGGUGGUAAAUUUCAUCUAAAGCUAAAUAUUGGCGAGAGACCGAUAGCGAACAAGUACCGUGAGGGAAAGAUGAAAAGAACUUUGAAAAGAGAGUUAAACAGUACGUGAAAUUGUCAAAAGGGAAGCGUUUGACACCAGUGUUGUUUUCUCGAAAAUCAAUUAAAAAGAGUUGGAUUUUGUGUUGUAUUGACUUUAUCAGGCUUUCUUCACUCUUUUCCAGCUUUUUUUAAUGCACUUUUCGUUUAACAAGUCAACAUCAGUUUCUUUUGUUGUAAAAAGGUCAUUGGAAGGUGGCUUUCUCUUCGGAGAAAGUGUUUAUAGCCUUUGACUCAUGCAAUCGGAGAGACUGAGGUCUGCAGCGUAGAUCCUUCGGGGUUAGAUACAUUUGUGCUAAGUUAUAGCUUUUCAUAGACAACUUGUUGACUAUGUUUAGUCUUGUAGCUUACUCGCUUAUGCUAUUUUACCUACGCUUAGGAUGUUGAACUCUAUCACACACAG
Molecule: ribosomal RNA, 775 nt
Filed under: uncultured Neocallimastigales
Lineage: Eukaryota; Fungi; Neocallimastigomycota; Neocallimastigomycetes; Neocallimastigales
Description: partial large subunit ribosomal RNA
Rfam family: Eukaryotic large subunit ribosomal RNA
Source: RNAcentral